UAAAGGAAAUCAAUAAUGAUCUAGCUUGGGGCUUACUCUCCUUGAGCCAUUGAAUCCUCAUUUUGUCAAAAAACUUCUUGAUUUAAUCUCACUCCCCUUGCUUCCACAACCCGUGGAUGAUCUUAAUAAAGAUCUUCGGGUCUAUGUACAUCCCUUCCUCCUGCAUUGAACCAAAGAACUAUAGAGCAUGUUUCAUGCUCCCAACCCGACAGCACCUCGAAUCAAAGCAUUCCACAUAGCAAUAUACAGCUUGAUCCCCUCUGUACGGCAUACCUGACAUAGGAAACGAACAUAUGAAUAUGGUAUAAUGCAUAUUUUGGUAAAGAUCAAAAGCAUAUCAUGAGAAAUCGAUGAACUUGCAUUUGUUGGGCUCAUUAACACCAAUUAAACUAUUUGCUCAGCCCAAACCUAAGCCUGACCAGUGUAAAAGUUCAGCCACAGAAUUAUAUUUUGACCUAAAUGUAUUCUCUUACGGAUUAAGGGGCAUCCUUCCAUCUUAUUCAUCCUUCUUCCAACUCCAAAAUAAAAUAAAAAUCUAGAUGGUAUCUCUAUGGGAAGACACAACGUCUCACAUACCAAUGUAUAUGGCCUAAAUCUUCGAAAUUCAAACAAGGUAAAAUGUACCCUUUGUAAGCCACUGAACAUUUGUAAUUAAUGUGAGGCCCAGAUGUGCAGUUCCUUACUUUUUCUCAUGAUCACAGCACCUUAUCACAUAUAUACCUCUGCUGUACACCCGCGCCAACUGAAACUUGACAGUAGCAAUUUUUAAAAUGUUAGAGAAGUAAUCCAGAC
Molecule: long non-coding RNA, 792 nt
Filed under: Triticum aestivum (bread wheat)
Lineage: Eukaryota; Viridiplantae; Streptophyta; Magnoliopsida; Poales; Poaceae
Description: long non-coding RNA (TAES_LNC014272)
Source: RNAcentral